This 596-nucleotide long non-coding RNA is filed under the name Homo sapiens (human). RNAcentral's name for it is "non-protein coding lnc-ULBP1-2:1". Lineage: Eukaryota; Metazoa; Chordata; Mammalia; Primates; Hominidae. The record is from RNAcentral.
GCCCUCACUCUCUUUGCUAUGACGUCACCAUCAUCCCUAAGUUCAGAUCUGAACCACGGUAGUGCGAGGUUCAAGGUCAGGUGGAUAAAAAGAUUUUUCUUCUCUCUGACUGUUGCAAUAACACAGUUAAAUCCUUCAGUUCCCUGCGGAAGAAAAUAAAUGUCACACGGGCCUGGAAAGCACAGAAUCCAGUACUGAAAAAGGUGGUGGACAUGCUCACAGAGCAACUGCUGGACAUUCAGCUGGAGAAUGACACACCCAGGGAUAAAACCCCUCACCCUGCAGGCCAGGAUGUCUCGUGAGCGGGAAGGUGAUGGACAUAGUAGUGGAUCUUGGCAUUUAGACUUUGAUAGACAGAUCUUCCUCCUCUCUGACUCAGAGAAGAGAAAGUGGACAGUGAUUCAUGCUGGAGGCAGACAGAAGAAAGAGAAGUGGAAGAAUGAAGGGAAGUGACCAUGUUCUUCCAGAAGGUCUCCAAGGGACAUUGCAAAAGCUAGCUUAUGGACUUCCCCAUUCACAGGGAGAAGAGGCUGGAGCUCGCAGGUAACUGACAGCAGAGCACUGGGAGCGCCCUGGAGAUGCCGUUGAAGUACACC